RNAcentral lists this ribosomal RNA (32 nucleotides) under Naumovozyma dairenensis. RNAcentral's name for it is "partial small subunit ribosomal RNA". The record is from RNAcentral. Lineage: Eukaryota; Fungi; Ascomycota; Saccharomycetes; Saccharomycetales; Saccharomycetaceae.
GUGGGCUUAUAAUUAUCUUUAAUAUUCUUCCA